AUAUUAUAUAUCGAACCCUCUUUUUUUGAGUGGUUUGGAUGUGGGGUUGCUGGCCUCUUGAAGGGGUCAGCUUCCCUGAAAUGCAUUAGCAGAACAGCCUGUUCGUUCCAUUGGUGUGAUAACUAUCUACGCUAUUGAAUGAUGAAGGCAAGUUCAGCUUUCUAACCGUCUUUUGGACAAUUUAUCAUCUAU
RNAcentral lists this unclassified non-coding RNA (192 nucleotides) under Cortinarius fratellus. Its description in RNAcentral is "partial internal transcribed spacer 2". The record is from RNAcentral. Lineage: Eukaryota; Fungi; Basidiomycota; Agaricomycetes; Agaricales; Cortinariaceae.